UGUAAGGUGCCUGAUUAAAGGAUAAUCUUGAUAGGAUUAGUAAUGUGACCCCCGCCACCCUUAUAA
This 66-nucleotide transfer RNA is filed under the name Suinzona cyrtonoides. RNAcentral describes it as "tRNA-Ile". Lineage: Eukaryota; Metazoa; Arthropoda; Insecta; Coleoptera; Chrysomelidae. The record is from RNAcentral.